RNAcentral lists this unclassified non-coding RNA (337 nucleotides) under Hevea brasiliensis (rubber tree). The record is from RNAcentral. Lineage: Eukaryota; Viridiplantae; Streptophyta; Magnoliopsida; Malpighiales; Euphorbiaceae.
GAAAAAUGCCACAAGCUCUGGCAACUCCUGAUACUGGUGAAUUCUCAAAUAAUCAAACCAAUGGAGAUCAGGAUAAAAUGGAAUCAGAUGUGGUUGUUUUCCCCAAAAGAUCUAUUUCCCUCCCACACGAGCAGGCUUCUCCAUCGAAGGCAACACCUAUCUUUGCUCGUGCCAAUUCAUUUCAGCCCGACAACCAGGCAUGUCAUGUGCAUCCCAAACUACCAGAUUAUGAUGAUUUGACUGCCAGAUUUGCUUCUCUAAGAGGCUGAUAAAUUUUAUAAUAGAUUAAACUUGACGAGUGUUUGCUCCAGUGUGUGUUACCUCUUCACAUUCAUUU